Pseudoliparis swirei is the source of this 1147-nucleotide long non-coding RNA. RefSeq lists it as uncharacterized. Lineage: Eukaryota; Metazoa; Chordata; Actinopteri; Perciformes; Liparidae. The record is from RefSeq and is a predicted model, not a curated record. The transcript is spliced from 2 exons.
UCGUGUGAAAAUUAGGUAGUGCGCCUUUAAUUUAACCCUCUGAAAACGAAGCCCGCUACAGUGCGUUUUGACAGCUUUACGUUUUUAAAAUCUGUAUAUCUCCGCGACAAUACGUCGCCGAGAUACGUUUAAAAUACUGGAUGAAUCCGGAGGAUUUCCUCUUCCGUUCAUUUCUCUACCGUAAGCUCCUCUGCGAUUCACAGAGAAAGAUAGGGGGACGAACGUGUCGGGUGACGCGGCACCGAGUACUGUGAUUUGCCAAUGCGGUUGUCCGUCAACAUUUUGCGGAGAAGAACAACCAAUGAACACCCAAGAAAUCACAAGGACCUACCCACCUCCCAGGUGGAGCUCAUUAGCAGUCUGUCAGUCAGAGAAGCCAGAGAACACGGCGCGAACGGACUUCACAACAAGGAAGCAGCUGCAGCGACUUUGGCGAGCAGCGCGGAGCCUCAGAGGAGCUGCAGAGCCACGAGGAGGAACACGCAGCCAGAAGAGAUCCACUUGGACCGGAGAGGAUUCACCAGCACCUGCAGUGCAGCCUGCAGAUCCACCUGCAGCCCCACCUGCAGCUCUACCUGUCCGGCCAGCAAUGGUCUCGUGCCCCGGAGGACCAUGACACGAUGACAUGAUGCCAUUAUAGUGAAGCCAUUUUGUAAAUAUUCUGUAUCAAUAUUUGUGUUCUGUUUUCUAUUUCUCAACAUGAAUAUUAUGGAGAAUAUGUUCACUUUUUGUAAUGUAUAAUACAUUUAUUUGAAGAAGAAAAAUGUAAAUGGUCAUUUUUUAUUUGCACACCCCAUGAAACUUCAUCUGCAAUAUUAAGUCAUUUCUCAGUCCCAUCUUUAUCAUUUUGGUGCAUGUGUGACGGACCACAUCAUUUCUACUCAAAACGAUAAUACAAAAUUGGGUUUUUGACAUCUUUACAUGUAUCUAGCAUUGUAUUCAGAUAUUUCACUGCUUUUGUGAACCCAUGACCUUUGGUAAACCAAUUUUAAACACAAACAGUUGGUUCACAUGAGUAAAACAGUUGUUUGUGAUAGUUAUUAAUAUGUGAAAUGCACUCAGCUCUCAAUAGGAAAAGUAGCAAUUGCAAACUUUAUCAAUGUCAUCAAUGCAAAGCUAUUCACUCGUUAAUAAAACAUCAGCUUGA